GGCACAAGCUUGGGAUUUGCAACAACUCUUUAACUGUAUUUCUGGGAGUAACUGCCUCUCAACUGGCAUGAUCUUAUUGCUGUGCAUCUCCUCUCUAUCCAUGUCACUUGGGGAACUAGAACAAUUGCAUCUGCAAUCCUAAUACUGUAUUUAAAGUAUGUUAAUGUUUCCGAGGCCACUGCUUGGUGCAUCAGGAAAAUUCUUGGGCUUGUAACCACAAAGGUGCAAGUUCAAGUUUUGAGAGCAGCCAAUUUACACUAAAGUAUUGAAUGAUAGGGUUGUCUCCACAUCUUCCCUCCCAGAACCCUACCUCAGAGGAAACAGAAAGCCUUUCUGUUUACAUCUCUCAGUCAUUGAGUUUUGAGGGGUUCACUUUGGUGAAUUUCAAGGUUAAUUAUAAAAUUUGUCACUAAAUUUGUUACUAAAUUUCAUUUCAGUCACAACUUCAAUUUUGUUGCUAUUUGGUCAUAGAACUUUAAUUUUGCUUAAUUUUGGUAUUGUCACCUGAUUCUGUGCAUAACCUUUCCAAAAUGCUGGCGUGGACCACUUCUUUGAUUAAAAUAAUUCAUUUCUUUCUCCUAAUCUGCAAGGGAGAAUAUAUGUCCCAAGUCAAUAAAAAA
Molecule: unclassified non-coding RNA, 620 nt
Filed under: Hevea brasiliensis (rubber tree)
Lineage: Eukaryota; Viridiplantae; Streptophyta; Magnoliopsida; Malpighiales; Euphorbiaceae
Source: RNAcentral